Molecule: small RNA, 109 nt
Filed under: Allotamlana fucoidanivorans
Lineage: Bacteria; Pseudomonadati; Bacteroidota; Flavobacteriia; Flavobacteriales; Flavobacteriaceae
Description: Tamlana fucoidanivorans 6S-Flavo RNA
Rfam family: 6S-Flavo RNA
Source: Rfam by way of RNAcentral
ACUCAACGUUAAUUCUUUAAAAAGGGUGAGUUUAAGUUGUAAAAGCAUGCUGUUUUAUUUGCAGAUCCUUGAUCAGCUUGUUAGCCCUAAACUUGUUUUUAAGGAGUUU